This is a small nuclear RNA of Gorilla gorilla gorilla (western lowland gorilla), 149 nucleotides long. Its record names the gene U1. It matches the Rfam family "U1 spliceosomal RNA". Rfam says of the family: U1 is a small nuclear RNA (snRNA) component of the spliceosome (involved in pre-mRNA splicing). Its 5' end forms complementary base pairs with the 5' splice junction, thus defining the 5' donor site of an intron. The record is from Ensembl. NCBI's taxonomy places the organism in Eukaryota, Metazoa, Chordata, Mammalia, Primates, Hominidae.
UAACUUAUCUGGCAGGGGAGAUACCAUGAACAUCAGGGUAGUUUUCCCAAGGCAAGUUUCCACCCUUGCACUCCAGAUGACGAGACAUUCCUUAAUGGAUACAAUGCAUGUGAUUUGGGUGAUGGAUACUGUGGAAACACCGACUUCAC